CGGGAGGCAGCAGUUAGGAAUCUUCCGCAAUGGGCGCAAGCCUGACGGAGCGACGCCGCUUGGAGGAUGAAGCCCUUCGGGGUGUAAACUCCUGAACUGGGGGCGAAAUCCCUGAUGAGGGGGCUGACGGUACCCAGGUAAUAGCGCCGGCCAACUCCGUGCCAGCAGCCGCGGUAAUACGGAGGGCGCGAGCGUUACCCGGAUUUACUGGGCGUAAAGGGCGUGUGGGCGGUUUGGCGCGUCUGGCGUUAAAGACCGCGGCUCAACCGUGGGGGUGCGCUGGAUACGGCCAAGCUAGACGGCUGGAGGGGGUGGUGGAAUUCCCGGAGUAGCGGUGAAAUGCGCAGAUACCGGGAGGAACGCCGAUAGCGAAGGCAGCCACCUGGCCAGUUUGUGACGCUGAGGCGCGAGAGCGUGGGGAGCAAACCGGAUUAGAUACCCGGGUAGUCCACGCCCUAAAC
RNAcentral lists this ribosomal RNA (461 nucleotides) under uncultured bacterium. RNAcentral's name for it is "bacterial SSU rRNA". It matches the Rfam family "Bacterial small subunit ribosomal RNA", at positions 342 to 807 of the family's 1533-position model. The record is from RNAcentral.